Molecule: ribosomal RNA, 301 nt
Filed under: uncultured bacterium
Lineage: Bacteria
Description: partial 16S ribosomal RNA
Rfam family: Bacterial small subunit ribosomal RNA
Source: RNAcentral
CAGCAGCCGCGGUAAUACAGAGGGUGCGAGCGUUAAUCGGAUUUACUGGGCGUAAAGCGUGCGUAGGCGGCUUCUUAAGUCGGAUGUAAAAUCCCUGAGCUUAACUUAGGAAUUGCAUUCGAUACUGGGAAGCUAGAGUAUGGGAGAGGAUGGUAGAAUUCCAGGUGUAGCGGUGAAAUGCGUAGAGAUCUGGAGGAAUACCGAUGGCGAAGGCAGCCAUCUGGCCUAAUACUGACGCUGAGGUACGAAAGCAUGGGGAGCAAACAGGAUUAGAUACCCGGGUAGUCCCUGUCUCUUAUAC